AUUGAACGCUGGCGGCAGGCUUAACACAUGCAAGUCGAGCGGAGACUUCGGUCUUAGCGGCGAACGGGUGAGUAAUACCUAGGAAUCUGCCUAUUAGUGGGGGAUAACGAAUCGAAAGGUUCGCUAAUACCGCAUACGUCCUACGGGAGAAAGGGGGGGAUCUUUGGACCUCUCGCUAAUAGAUGAGCCUAGGCCGGAUUAGCUAGUUGGUAGGGUAAAGGCCUACCAAGGCGACGAUCUGUAGCUGGUCUGAGAGGAUGGCCAGCCACACUGGAACUGAGACACGGUCCAGACUCCUACGGGAGGCAGCAGUGGGGAAUAUUGGACAAUGGGGGCAACCCUGAUCCAGCCAUGCCGCGUGUGUGAAGAAGGCCUCGGUUGUAAGACGACUUAAGUACGAGGAGGAA
Molecule: ribosomal RNA, 407 nt
Filed under: uncultured bacterium
Lineage: Bacteria
Description: bacterial SSU rRNA
Rfam family: Bacterial small subunit ribosomal RNA
Source: RNAcentral